RNAcentral lists this ribosomal RNA (492 nucleotides) under uncultured bacterium. Its description in RNAcentral is "partial 16S ribosomal RNA". It matches the Rfam family "Bacterial small subunit ribosomal RNA", at positions 29 to 507 of the family's 1533-position model. The record is from RNAcentral.
AGUGAACGCUGGCGGUAGGCCUAACACAUGCAAGUCGAACGGCAGCACAGUAAGAGCUUGCUCUUACGGGUGGCGAGUGGCGGACGGGUGAGGAAUACAUCGGAAUCUACUUUUUCGUGGGGGAUAACGUAGGGAAACUUACGCUAAUACCGCAUACGACCUACGGGUGAAAGCAGGGGAUCUUCGGACCUUUCGCGAUUGAAUGAGCCGAUGUCGGAUUAGCUAGUUGGCGGGGUAAAGGCCCACCAAGGCGACGAUCCGUAGCUGGUCUGAGAGGAUGAUCAGCCACACUGGAACUGAGACACGGUCCAGACUCCUAAGGGAGGCAGCAGUGGGGAAUAUUGGACAAUGGGCGCAAGCCUGAUCCAGCCAUACCGCGUGGGUGAAGAAGGCCUUCGGGUUGUAAAGCCCUUUUGUUGGGAAAGAAAAGCAGCAGGUUAAUACCCCGCUGUUCUGACGGUACCCAAAGAAUAAGCACCGGCUAACUUCGUG